UGAGGCUGCUGGUUGAUCGCUAUCGUCUGAUAAGAUAAUAGAGGAAAGUCCGGACUUCUUGUAAGCAAGGUGCCAGAUAACAUCUGGCGUUAAAGAUUGGAAAGUCUUUAAUAGGGAAAGUGCAACAGAAAAUAUACCGCCGUAAAGGUAAGGGUGAAAUGGUGCGGUAAGAGCGCACCGCAUAGAUUGGCAACAAUCAUGGCACUGCAAACCCCACCUGAAGCAAGACCAAAUAGGAAUGGAUAAGGGAGCUUACACCUGCAUGCUAUUCGGGUAGGUCGCUUGAGCUUGUCGGUGACGACAAUGCCUAGAUGAAUGAUCAAACAUGGGAUAUUUCCAGGACAGAAUCCGGCUUAUAGGUUGCCUCAUACU
Molecule: RNase P RNA, 372 nt
Filed under: Holosporales bacterium
Lineage: Bacteria; Pseudomonadati; Pseudomonadota; Alphaproteobacteria; Holosporales
Description: RNase P RNA component class A
Rfam family: Bacterial RNase P class A
About the family: Ribonuclease P (RNase P) is a ubiquitous endoribonuclease, found in archaea, bacteria and eukarya as well as chloroplasts and mitochondria.
Source: RNAcentral